RNAcentral lists this ribosomal RNA (238 nucleotides) under uncultured bacterium. RNAcentral's name for it is "partial 16S ribosomal RNA". It matches the Rfam family "Bacterial small subunit ribosomal RNA", at positions 15 to 266 of the family's 1533-position model. The record is from RNAcentral.
GAUCCUGGCUCAGAACGAACGCUGGCGGCAGGCUUAACACAUGCAAGUUGAACGGGAUUGUUAAGUAGCUUGCUAUUUAACAAGAGAGUAGCGCACUGGUGAGUAACACGUGGGAACGUACCUUUUGGUGGGGGACAACAUCUGGAAACGGAUGCUAAUACCGCAUAAGACCUGAGGGUGAAAGAUUUAUCGCCGAAAGAACGGCCGCGGACGGAUAGUCGNUGGUGGGUAAGGGACG